Long non-coding RNA from Haliotis rubra (blacklip abalone), 590 nucleotides. RefSeq lists it as uncharacterized. The record is from RefSeq and is a predicted model, not a curated record. NCBI's taxonomy places the organism in Eukaryota, Metazoa, Mollusca, Gastropoda, Lepetellida, Haliotidae. The transcript is spliced from 4 exons.
CGUUGAGAUCUUGGAAUGUCUUCUCAAAUCCUUCCUGACACUGACAUGUUGCUACUGGGACUAAUGGUGGCUCAAGACACACGCCAUUCCAACACCCGCUGACAGCGCAGGAGACGGCUGAAAGCUCUGUGUACAGUUACGGGCUGCCAGAACGGCGUGUGUCUGGGACCCCCCUUUCUCGCCACUCCGGUGUGUCUGUGUAACCCUGGAUUUACAUAUUCCACACUGGAUGCAAAUAUCUGUGAAGAUUUUGACGAGUGCAAGAUUGCCUACGGGACCAUCUGUAACCAAGGCCGUUGUGUCAAUCAGCCGGGCAGCUUCAGCUGUCAGUGUUACCCUGGAUACGUCCCUCGUUUCAACAACACAGUCUGCGACUAUCCAACAAAACAACAACGACAACAACAACAGGGACAACAGCAACAGCCCAGCUCUCUCACGACUCUUUUGCAAUACCUUUCAUUUAAUGAAUUGGUGAACUGAAGCUGAUAAUAUCCACUGUUGGGCACGUGAAUCAUGCCACACAUCUAUCAAAAUAAUAAAACCCAAGCAGAAAUGAGUUUCAGUUCUGUUUCAACAAAUCCAGGAGAGAA